GAUGAACGCUGGCGGCGUGCCUAAUACAUGCAAGUCGAGCGAACGGACGAGAAGCUUGCUUCUCUGAUGUUAGCGGCGGACGGGUGAGUAACACGUGGAUAACCUACCUAUAAGACUGGGGUAACUUCGGGAAACCGGAGCUAAUACCGGAUAAUAUUUUGAACCGCAUGGUUCAAAAGUGAAAGACGGUCUUGCUGUCACUUAUAGAUGGAUCCGCGCUGCAUUAGCUAGUUGGUAAGGUAACGGCUUACCAAGGCAACGAUGCAUAGCCGACCUGAGAGGGGAUCGGCCACACUGGAACUGAGACACGGUCCAGACUCCUACGGGAGGCAGCAGUAGGGAAUCUUCCGCAAUGGGCGAAAGCCUGACGGAGCAACGCCGCGUGAGUGAUGAAGGUCUUCGGAUCGUAAAACUCUGUUAUUAGGGAAGAACAUAUGUGUAAGUAACUGUGCACAUCUUGACGGUACCUAAUCAGAAAGCCACGGCUAACUACGUG
Molecule: ribosomal RNA, 496 nt
Filed under: uncultured bacterium
Lineage: Bacteria
Description: partial 16S ribosomal RNA
Rfam family: Bacterial small subunit ribosomal RNA
Source: RNAcentral